Esox lucius (northern pike) is the source of this 3164-nucleotide long non-coding RNA. NCBI's taxonomy places the organism in Eukaryota, Metazoa, Chordata, Actinopteri, Esociformes, Esocidae. The record is from Ensembl.
UCUAUGUCUCUCUCUCAUUCUGCCUUCCUAUAACUCUGUCGCACCACUUCAAAAUAACCUGGCCCCAGCGUGACAUCAUUGUUUGGGUAGGGUCGGUUAUGAAGGGACUGCCACACAGCCGUGUCUGCUUUGGAGGAAAGGCUGUCCCCCCAGUUUCACCGUGCUCCCUAUAUAUUGCACGUCUUUUGCCAUGAAAGCGGUGAAUGGGAUGACAGGCCCAUUGACUCAGGCUGUCUGGACAACAGCAUCACGCUCUCUCUACAUGUGCUUCAAAACAUCAGACGACACAGAUGAAGUGAUAAUGUAAGAGGUGAGAAGGAGAGAUGGAGACAGAGCUUCGGGUGGAGGCCUGGGGAGUGAAGACACGAUGAAGACUUCCAGACCUCUGGAAUGAAGAUGGAUGUGUGGACACAGCAUUGCUGCCUGGGACAAACUGUACCAUCGUCUAUCAUGACCUAUUCACCUCUGACCCAUGACAGUCCAUAUACACACACACACACACACACACACAUACACACACAGACACAUAGCCCAGGGCCAGCUGAAAGAGCCCUAGCCAAAUUAUUAUUUUUUUGAGCUUUCUUCCCCAUAGAACGCUCUGUUAUAAAACCCUCUAAAUAAUCACAAAUAGCUCCAUCCAAAUGUUCCACUAUCCCACUGGAUAUAGCAUUACAACCCAACAAACUUAGUGAACAUGCUUUGGUGAGAAGUCUCACGUUUUGGGAACUCCAUACCCAAAAACAUUUACAGUACAGUUCAUGUACUUAUACAUUUCAGUGUGUUGUACAGACCACGCCCCUCCCCCCUCAUCGACCAAUCUUCACACAGCGCUCCCCAACACCUGAGAGAUGUUUCUGUCGUGAUCACUACUGGUGAUGUAACUCUGCCCUUUCAAACCCCCUGCAAAUGUGUCCCGAAGCACAACUGUGUGGCAGUUGGUGGCAGUGUGUGUUCUAGCACAUUCCCUGAGCUAAACUGGUCACAUCCACAACAGCCAUAGGGGAAAGACAGCUAUUAACACUAUUUUACAUUACAUUAUAGUCAAAAGAUAACAGACAGAGUGGAUGGGAGUUGAACUAUUUUAAUUACUUAAUAAAAAGGUGAGUUUUCAGAUGAUUUUGAAGACAGGUAGAAAUUGCUGUCAAGCCCCCCAAGUGAAGCUUGUUCCACCAUUGAGGUGCCAGGGCAGAGGAAAUGACUGAGUGAAUAGGGAACUGCCCCAAAGUGGAAGCAAUCCUACCUGGCAGGCUACUACUACCAUGUGAGAUGGAGAGGAUCUGUGUUUGCCACCCACUGCAUGAACACUGGUUGGCCUGCAGCCAAAACUGGGCUAAGCAACAUCUUGUCCACACUGGUUCAAGACCCAAGGAAAGAACGCACUGAGACUGGGUAAGACAGAUCAGCACUCAGUUCUUCCAGUUAACGAAGUGUGCAGCCAACACCCUGAGACCCAAGCACCAGGUCUUCCUCGACCACCAUGAAAAAGGUGCAAGGUGACAGGGAGAGACCAAAAGGGAGAUCUAGAAACGUGUAGACUACUACCUCUAUGUUGAAUAUCAAUGUGACAAGGCCCAAACCCCAUGUUCACAUAAAAGUAAAGUCUUUCAGAUCGAAGAAUGUAAACCACUUAUGAUAACAACUUGCAGACAUUCGAAAUUUGCAGACAUUAAAAUACCCAUUGAGGGCCCAUGAUUCUAUAAUGUGACAAAAAACAUUAGAUGGCUACUCUGGCAGUAUCUCAUCAGUUUCGAUGACCAAGAUGCCCCCAGUCUAAAACAUAAUCCAAUUGGACUGGACAGAUUCAACAUCUUCUGGCUUUCACAAUUCCAUGACAUCAGACCAUUUUCUUCCUAUUCUGCCUGUAACCACCCACUUCGAAAAAGCCGUAGUCAAGGGGAUGGAAGCAGCAUUAUGCGAACUUCCAACUUUUGGACUCUAACUGGGUGUAGUUGGUGACACUAAUUACAUAAACUGAGAUGAAGAAGGGCAGCAGAAGCUUGAACUGAGCCAAAAAACACCUAAAAUGUUGUGAGGACUAUUGGGAGUGAUAUGAAAGCUAUAACCAAGGACAUGAUCUAGAAAAGUGUUUCUUGAACCUCUACAGGGGGCACACAGCUUUUCUGUGUGUUAGACGUAUCACAGAGCUCUCACACAGAUCAGCUUUUCAGCUAAGCUCUAUAAACGCAUAGCUUAUUCACUAUAGCUAGUUUAAAGUAUUAGGGGGUCGCUAGGUGAGGUUUGAGAACCCCUGGUCUAGAAUACAAACCUGAUUAGAAAGCAUUGUGUGCUUGUUCCUACUCAUAGACACCAGCAGUGCUUUGAAGGAAAAGCUAACAUAACAAUUUCAGCAACAGAGUCCAUCAGGUUAAGUAUGUUUCUCUAUAAUAGAAAAGAAGCUAAAGCUGGCAUUAAUACAUUCCAAUGUGUUUUAGAAAAGCGUAGUUCAAUGAAGAACAGAAAGCUCUGAGAUCAAGGGCCUAGCUGUGAUAAUAUCACCUGGAAAGUGGGGCUUUCAAUGGGAUCUCAUUUGCCUUGAAAUGGGAUUGUAGAGUAUGUUCACAUAUGGAUGUGAUAAAAGCAUGUAGCCUCACAGUGUGUGGUGCCGGUUGAUCGACUGAAAGGGAACUGUGACCCGUUUUAUGUUCUACGUGAGUCAAAUGUGAUAAUAGCCAGUUUCCUAUGUUGUGAAUGGGUGCUGUUCUUACAAGGACGUUAAUACCUUUCUAGACACUACAAACUUGGCAGUCUGAUAGCCAAUGAGGUGAAACAAGGUGAAGCAUUCUCGUCUAAGGGGAGGCUGGUUUAGUUUUGAAGACGAUGUGUUCCAAAUAAACCUGAAGUUUUUGAGGGGGGAUGCAGGGAAUUGCUCAUUCAGAAAGUGCGCUGCUCGUACAGUAUGACCUCUAUAUGGAGCAGUCCUUUGUCUUAAGUACAUGACUGAAAAUGAUCAGUGCAAACCUCUGGUAUAUGGGCCAUGUUCACAGGCUGACAGUGUGUGGCCUUCAAGAGGCAGGCCGACAUAAGUCAAGGGAACAGUAGCUAGCAAGAUACUGCUCCGUGUCAGCGAUCAUGGGCAGCCUUGCAGUGUGUUGUUGGAAGUAUUAUCUGUACUCCUAGAUGUUCCCACAUACUGAAUCCUUCUUAAAUUGUACAUUUGAUUUGUG